GACGAACGCUGGCGGCGUGCUUAACACAUGCAAGUCGAACGGUGAAGCCCUUCGGGGUGGAUCAGUGGCGAACGGGUGAGUAACACGUGAGCAACCUGCCCCUGGCUCUGGGACAACCACUGGAAACGGUGGCUAAUACCGGAUACGACCCGCCUCGGCAUCGAGUGUGGGUGGAAAGUUUUUCGGCUGGGGAUGGGCUCGCGGCCUAUCAGCUUGUUGGUGAGGUGAAGGCUCACCAAGGCGACGACGGGUAGCCGGCCUGAGAGGGCGACCGGCCACACUGGGACUGAGACACGGCCCAGACUCCUACGGGAGGCAGCAGUGGGGAAUAUUGCACAAUGGGCGAAAGCCUGAUGCAGCGACGCCGCGUGAGGGAUGACGGCCUUCGGGUGGUAAACCUCUUUCAGCUCCGAAGAAGCGAAAGUGACGGUAGGAGCAGAAGAAGCACCGGCUAACUACGU
RNAcentral lists this ribosomal RNA (461 nucleotides) under uncultured bacterium. Its description in RNAcentral is "partial 16S ribosomal RNA". It matches the Rfam family "Bacterial small subunit ribosomal RNA", at positions 28 to 506 of the family's 1533-position model. The record is from RNAcentral.